GGCAAGGAGGGCGGUCCAUUGGAGAUGGGAAGUUGCCAGCCAUUGGUACGUAAAGAGGUGCUGGGCCUGGGUCUUCCAGAUGUUGAGUCCAGGACUCCCUCAGUUGGCUCUGGAGACUUGGUACAGUCCAUGGGUUCUGUUAGACAUACACUCUCCUCGCCCUCCUCCUCUUCCUCCUCCAGCCGCUCCAGAGACACCAUCUCUAGCUCAACAGGAAGACCUGAGU
RNAcentral lists this unclassified non-coding RNA (226 nucleotides) under Hevea brasiliensis (rubber tree). Lineage: Eukaryota; Viridiplantae; Streptophyta; Magnoliopsida; Malpighiales; Euphorbiaceae. The record is from RNAcentral.